UGUAGUCAAAUAAUUUGGAAUAAUCUAAUCCGAGAAUUAUAUAUAUAUAAUUUCAAAAAUCCUUUUCUUCUUCAAUAAUUCAAUUGAAAAUCAAAUAUUAUUCUGUACACGUCUUUGUUGGAAGAUAAUAACAUAAAAAUAAAAAAAAUAAACUUCUGUAACUUCAUAAUUGUUAUAUUGCUUUUAUAUACCUAUAUUCUUUCUUGACGUUUUAGUUAGUCAUGUGUGCCUAAAAGUCAUCAAACAAUAUAUCAAACAACGUUUUUGACUCUUAGCUGUCUGUUUAGUUGGUUCGAUCGAUCUUGACGCCAGCCGGCAAGCUAGCACAGGCACCGUGGAAGUCUAGCUACUGUAGCUGCUACAGAACUGCAGAAGUGAGUAAUCAUAUAUCACUAUAUUUUAUUUCCUAUUUAUUUGUAUAUAUAGAAAGGGAUCGACGGACGGAUUCUCGGAUUAAUUAAGUACGUACGUACGUAUAUACAUAGCAUACCAUAGCAUUGCUCGAUGGAGUUUGCGGCAACUCAAGAUAUGAGAUCAAUGGAACACAUGUUCAACAAGAUUGUCACCCCAAGCGAUGUCGGGAAGUUG
This 588-nucleotide long non-coding RNA is filed under the name Zostera marina. RNAcentral's name for it is "long non-coding RNA (ZMAR_LNC002066)". Lineage: Eukaryota; Viridiplantae; Streptophyta; Magnoliopsida; Alismatales; Zosteraceae. The record is from RNAcentral.